Molecule: small RNA, 26 nt
Filed under: Bombyx mori (domestic silkworm)
Lineage: Eukaryota; Metazoa; Arthropoda; Insecta; Lepidoptera; Bombycidae
Description: ovarian small RNA-36642
Source: RNAcentral
UUACUGAGAAAUGGUAGAGAGAGCGU